GCUGGGUGUGGUGGCAUGUGCCUGUGGUCCCAGCUACUUGGGAGGCUGAGGCUGGAAGAUCACUUGAGCCCAGGAAUGCUGGGCUAUAGUGCGCUAUGCCCAUCAGGUGUCCGCAGUAAGUAUGGCAUCAAUAUGGUGACCUCCCAGGAGCGGGGGACCAUAAGGUUGCCUAAGGAGGGGUGAACUGGCCCAGGUCAGAAAUGGAGCAGGUCAAAAUCCCAUGCUGAUCAGUAGUGGGAUCGUGCCUGUCAAUAGCCACUGCACUCCAGCCUGGGCAACAUAGCGAGACCCUGUCUCA
Molecule: signal recognition particle RNA, 298 nt
Filed under: Saimiri boliviensis boliviensis (Bolivian squirrel monkey)
Lineage: Eukaryota; Metazoa; Chordata; Mammalia; Primates; Cebidae
Description: Metazoan signal recognition particle RNA (ENSSBOG00000001010.1)
Rfam family: Metazoan signal recognition particle RNA
About the family: The signal recognition particle (SRP) is a universally conserved ribonucleoprotein. It is involved in the co-translational targeting of proteins to membranes.
Source: RNAcentral